This 101-nucleotide small nuclear RNA is filed under the name Castor canadensis (American beaver). The record is from RNAcentral. Lineage: Eukaryota; Metazoa; Chordata; Mammalia; Rodentia; Castoridae.
GUGCUUGCUUUAGCACACAUACACUAAACUUGGAACAAUAUAGAUAUUAGCAUGGCCUCUGUAAGGAUGACAUGCAAAUUUGUGAAGUGUUCCAUAUCCAA